AUGGCUCAGGAAGAUGAACAAUCUCACAGAGCCCUAACUAACUGAAGCCAGGUGUUAUAAAGCACAAGUCAAGAGGGCUGGCUUCUUCCCUCAGCCUCGUCCGACCCCAGCCUGGGUUCAAUGAACAUUCGGUAAAGGAACACGGAAUGUCAAGCGCAUUAGAGACAACCUUGAGACACAUUCCUCUUGCGAUGGCUGACCACUAGGUGGGCCUCGGCGUCACGUCCAGGGUAAUUGGUUGCUGGGGUGUUUCUGGCGAGGAAGAUUCACGCUUCAGCUCGGUCCACAAGAUCCUGGCUCAUUCUUUCCUAGAUUCCAUUUUCUGCGUCCUCUCCAUGACUGGGUCUGAUGGUUGAUCCAAACGGGCAAUUGAAAUCAGAAGGUUACCUUUACCUUAAAAUGCUUUUCUGGAAAUAAAAGGACAUGAAAAGUAAC
This 435-nucleotide long non-coding RNA is filed under the name Homo sapiens (human). RNAcentral's name for it is "HSALNT0168490". Lineage: Eukaryota; Metazoa; Chordata; Mammalia; Primates; Hominidae. The record is from RNAcentral.